UGAAUACGAGACGCUAAGGCGUCGAAGUAGUGUAUGUCAUACUUCCAAGAAAAGCUUGCACUGUCAUAGAUAAAAAACGCCUGUACCAUAACCGACACAGGUGGGUAGGUAGAGUAUACUAAGGGGCGCGAGAUAACUCUCUCUAAGGAACUCGGCAAAAUAACUCCGUAACUUCGGGAGAAGGAGUGCCUUAUUCGUAAGGUUGCAAUAACAAGAUCCAAGCAACUGUUUAUCAAAAACACAGGUCUCCGCUAAGUCGUAAGACGAUGUAUGGGGGCUGACGCCUGCCCAGUGCCAGAAGGUUAAAGAAGUUGGUUAGCAAUUGCGAAGCUGAUAACUGAAGCCCUGGUGAACGGCGGCCGUAACGAUAACGGUCCUAAGGUAGCGAAAUUCCUUGUCGGGUAAGUUCCGACCCGCACGAAAGGCGUAAUGAUUUGGAUACUGUCUCGGAGAGGGGCUCGGUGAAAUAGACUUGUCUGUGAAGAUGCGGACUACCUGCACCAGGACAGAAAGACCCUAUGAAGCUUUACUGUAACUUGAAAUUGAAAUUGGACUUUAUUCGCGCAGUAUAGGUGGGAGGCGUUGAUUAUAAUCUUGUGGGAUUAUUGGAGCCAUCAGUGAGAUACCACUCUUGUAAUGUUAGAUUUCUAACUUUGAAUCAUUAUCUGGUCAAAGAACAGUUUCAGGCGGGCAGUUUGACUGGGGCGGUCGCCUCCUAAACGGUAACGGAGGCGUACAAAGGUUUCCUCUGAACGGUUAGAAAUCGUAUCUAGAGUGUAAAGGCAUAAGGAAGCUUGACUGUGAGACCUACAAGUCGAGCAGGGACGAAAGUCGGUCUUAGUGAUCUGACGGUACUGAGUGGAAAGGCCGUCACUCAACGGAUAAAAGUUACUCUAGGAUAACAGGCUGAUCUCCCCCAAGAGUUCACAUCGACGGGGAGGUUUGGCACCUCGAUGUCGGCUCAUCGCAUCCUGGGGCGGUAGUACGUCCCAAGGGUUGGGCUGUUCGCCCAUGAAAGCGGUACGCGAGCUGGGUUCAGAACGUCGUGAGACAGUUCGGUCCAUAUCCGGUGUAGGCGUUAGAAUAUUGAGAGGAGCCUUCUUUAGUACGAGAGGACCGAGAAGGACAUACCUCUGGUGUACCAGUUAUCGUGCCAACGGUAAACGCUGGGUAGCUAUGUAUGGAGUGGAUAACCGCUGAAAGCAUCUAAGUGGGAAGCCCACCUCAAGAUAAGUAUUCUCA
RNAcentral lists this ribosomal RNA (1242 nucleotides) under metagenome. RNAcentral's name for it is "bacterial LSU rRNA". It matches the Rfam family "Bacterial large subunit ribosomal RNA", at positions 1564 to 2816 of the family's 2925-position model. The record is from RNAcentral.